UAAUUACAGCACCUGUAUACUUUGUCCAGCUCAUGCUUGCAUGAAGCUGGACAAAGUAUACAAGGUGCGCCCCACCAUGAGGAAGAAGCGGGGAAGGGGCCCCGCGGAAUCCGAAUGGUGGGAGGGAUGCGGGAGUGCGGAGCACGGAGCAUCCCGUGUAAUUA
Clostridium sp. SY8519 is the source of this 164-nucleotide small RNA. It matches the Rfam family "Clostridiales-1 RNA". Lineage: Bacteria; Bacillati; Bacillota; Clostridia; Eubacteriales; Clostridiaceae. The record is from Rfam.